CAGCAGCCACGGUAAUACGGAGGGGGCUAGCGCUGUUCUGAAUUACUGGGCGUAAAGCGCACGUAGGCGGCGAUCUAAGUCAGGGGUGAAAGCCCGGGGCUCAACCCCGGAAUAGCCUUUGAGACUGGAUUGCUAGAAUCUGGGAGAGGUGAGUGGAAUUCCGAGUGUAGAGGUGAAAUUCGUAGAUAUUCGGAAGAACACCAGUGGCGAAGGCGGCUCACUGGACCAGUAUUGACGCUGAGGUGCGAAAGCGUGGGGAGCAAACAGGAUUAGAUACCCCAGUAGUCCCUGUCUCUUAUAA
RNAcentral lists this ribosomal RNA (301 nucleotides) under uncultured bacterium. RNAcentral's name for it is "partial 16S ribosomal RNA". It matches the Rfam family "Bacterial small subunit ribosomal RNA", at positions 509 to 809 of the family's 1533-position model. The record is from RNAcentral.